Molecule: ribosomal RNA, 474 nt
Filed under: Variovorax sp.
Lineage: Bacteria; Pseudomonadati; Pseudomonadota; Betaproteobacteria; Burkholderiales; Comamonadaceae
Description: bacterial SSU rRNA
Rfam family: Bacterial small subunit ribosomal RNA
Source: RNAcentral
CAUGGGAUCGCAAGACCUUGCGCGAAUGGAGCGGCCGAUGGCAGAUUAGGUAGUUGGUGAGGUAAAGGCUCACCAAGCCUUCGAUCUGUAGCUGGUCUGAGAGGACGACCAGCCACACUGGGACUGAGACACGGCCCAGACUCCUACGGGAGGCAGCAGUGGGGAAUUUUGGACAAUGGGCGAAAGCCUGAUCCAGCCAUGCCGCGUGCAGGAUGAAGGCCUUCAGGUUGUAAACUGCUUUUGUACGGAACGAAACGGCCUUUUCUAAUAAAGAGGGCUAAUGACGGUACCGUAAGAAUAAGCACCGGCUAACUACGUGCCAGCAGCCGCGGUAAUACGUAGGGUGCAAGCGUUAAUCGGAAUUACUGGGCGUAAAGCGUGCGCAGGCGGUUAUGUAAGACAGUUGUGAAAUCCCCGGGCUCAACCUGGGAACUGCAUCUGUGACUGCAUAGCUAGAGUACGGUAGAGGGGGUA